This 460-nucleotide ribosomal RNA is filed under the name uncultured bacterium. RNAcentral describes it as "partial 16S ribosomal RNA". It matches the Rfam family "Bacterial small subunit ribosomal RNA", at positions 338 to 795 of the family's 1533-position model. The record is from RNAcentral.
CCUACGGGAGGCAGCAGUGAGGAAUAUUGGUCAAUGGACGAGAGGCUGAACCAGCCAAGUCGCGUGAAGGAUGAAUGCCCUAUGGGUUGUAAACUUCUUUUAUAUGGGAGUAAAAUGAUCCACGUGUGGGAGUUUGUAAGUACCUGAAGAAUAAGGAUCGGCUAACUCCGUGCCAGCAGCCGCGGUAAUACGGAGGAUGCGAGCGUUAUCCGGAUUUAUUGGGUUUAAAGGGUGCGUAGGUGGAUUGUUAAGUCAGGUGUGAAAGCUUGGGGCUCAACCCUAAAAUAGCAGUUGAAACUGGCGAUCUUGAGUGCACGAGAGGUGGGCGGAAUGCGUGGUGUAGCGGUGAAAUGCAUAGAUAUCACGAAGAACUCCGAUUGCGAAGGCAGCUCACCGGACCCCAACUGACGCUGAGGCACAAAAGUGUGGGUAUCGAACAGGAUUAGAUACCCCAGUAGUC